This 188-nucleotide unclassified non-coding RNA is filed under the name uncultured fungus. RNAcentral's name for it is "sequence contains ITS1". The record is from RNAcentral. Lineage: Eukaryota; Fungi.
UUGACUGUUUUUUUUUUAUAACUCAGAAGGUUUUGCGCUGGAAAUAUAGAAGGGUCUUUAACUGCCGGCGGGCACCAAUGGCCUGGGGGCUCCCCCGGAGCCGCCCGCCGAGGCAGGAUAGGUAAGGUUCACAGUGGGUUUUAGAGUAUAACUCGGUAAUGAUCCCUCCGCUGGUUCACCAACGGAGA